UAUGGCAAAAUUAAGUUUACAGUUGUGAGUACGUGAAACGCAGAUUUUACUUUUGCAUUAUUAUUCAUUAAUUAUUGUAUUAGUUUCCAUAUGAACAGUUAUAAAUCUACCUUUGUCCCACCCUAUAUAUACCUGCUCUCCC
This is a long non-coding RNA of Myotis brandtii (Brandt's bat), 142 nucleotides long. RefSeq lists it as uncharacterized. The transcript is spliced from 3 exons. The record is from RefSeq and is a predicted model, not a curated record. Lineage: Eukaryota; Metazoa; Chordata; Mammalia; Chiroptera; Vespertilionidae.